Molecule: long non-coding RNA, 334 nt
Organism: Terrapene triunguis (Three-toed box turtle)
Lineage: Eukaryota; Metazoa; Chordata; Testudines; Emydidae
Exons: 3
Source: RefSeq, a predicted model, not a curated record
UGCAGGACUGUGCUGCUGGCUACACUCGCACCGGAGGUGGCCUGUACCUCGGGCACUGCGAGCUGUGUGAGUGCAAUGGCCACUCGGACUCCUGCCACCCGGAGACGGGGGCCUGCUCGAACUGCUUACACAACGCGGCCGGGGAGUUCUGCGACCAGUGUGCCCCUGGCUACUAUGGUGACGCCACCGCCGGGACCCCCGAGGACUGCCAGCCUUGUGCCUGCCCACUCUCUGAGCCUGAGAACCAGUUCUCGCGGACGUGUGAGAGCCUGGGGGCGGGCGGCUAUCGCUGCUCAGCCUGCGAGCCCGGCUACACCGGCCAGUACUGCGAGCA